This 380-nucleotide long non-coding RNA is filed under the name Medicago truncatula (barrel medic). RNAcentral describes it as "lncRNA gene19429". Lineage: Eukaryota; Viridiplantae; Streptophyta; Magnoliopsida; Fabales; Fabaceae. The record is from RNAcentral.
UUCCUCGCGCGCCCUAUUUUUUUUUUCAAAGAUGCCCUUGAGUUUCCGAAUUUCAUAAUCCGGAAUGGUAUUUUCCUUUGUUAUAGGGUGAAAAAUGGAGUUACGGGUUUUUUCGGAUUUUGUAAUCCGAAAACUUCAAAAAAUAGGGCGUGUUACAUGAUGUUUCCAGAUUACAUAAUCCGGAAACCCCCUAAACACCCUUUUUCAAGGUAAAACAAUUCGGAUUAUAUAAUCUGAACUGUAUCAGCACAAAUUCUAAACAUGUUUGUAACAUGAAUAGUCAUUUUAGGGACAAUAUUAAUCUUCCUAACUCUCAUCAUUCCGUUUUUGGGUCAUUGUUACUUGUUCUUAGUCAAAAAUCGGGUUUUCGGGCUACUUGA